RNAcentral lists this ribosomal RNA (465 nucleotides) under uncultured bacterium. RNAcentral's name for it is "partial 16S ribosomal RNA". It matches the Rfam family "Bacterial small subunit ribosomal RNA", at positions 338 to 795 of the family's 1533-position model. The record is from RNAcentral.
CCUACGGGGGGCAGCAGUGGGGAAUAUUGCGCAAUGGGCGAAAGCCUGACGCAGCGACGCCGCGUGAGGGAUGAAGGUCUUCGGAUCGUAAACCUCUGUCAGCAGGGAAGAACGGUCACUGUGCUAAUCAGCAGUGAAUUGACGGUACCUGCAAAGGCAGCACCGGCUAACUCCGUGCCAGCAGCCGCGGUAAUACGGAGGGUGCGAGCGUUAAUCGGAAUUACUGGGCGUAAAGCGCUCGUAGGCGGUAUGUCAAGUCAAGGGGGAAAUCCACGCGCUCAACGUGGGAACUGCAUUUGAAACAGGAAAACAGGCGGGUGGGAGAGGAGAGUGGAAUUCCAGGUGUAGGAGUGAAAUCCGAAGAUAUCGGGAGGAAGAGCAGUGGAGAAGGGGACUAUCUGGAACAUAACGGACGCUGGGGAGCGAAAGCGUGGGUAGAAAACAGGAUGAGAUACCCGAGUAGUC